GGGAAUAUAGCUUAACUGGAAAAGCGGCGGUGUAAUCCCUCAAUACGCCAAUGCAUUCCCGGUUCGAAUCCGGGUAUUCCCU
Molecule: transfer RNA, 82 nt
Filed under: Clostridium sp. AM28-20LB
Lineage: Bacteria; Bacillati; Bacillota; Clostridia; Eubacteriales; Clostridiaceae
Description: tRNA-OTHER
Rfam family: tRNA
About the family: Transfer RNA (tRNA) molecules are approximately 80 nucleotides in length. Their secondary structure includes four short double-helical elements and three loops (D, anti-codon, and T loops).
Source: RNAcentral